RNAcentral lists this ribosomal RNA (509 nucleotides) under Trechus espanyoli. RNAcentral describes it as "partial 16S ribosomal RNA". It matches the Rfam family "Bacterial large subunit ribosomal RNA", at positions 1926 to 2642 of the family's 2925-position model. The record is from RNAcentral. Lineage: Eukaryota; Metazoa; Arthropoda; Insecta; Coleoptera; Carabidae.
AAUGGCUGCAGUAAUUUGACUGUACAAAGGUAGCAUAAUCAUUAGUUUUUUAAUUAAAAGCUUGUAUGAAAGGUUGGACGAAAUAAAAUCUGUCUCUUUUUAAUAUAAUUAGAAUUUAAUUUUUAAGUUAAAAAGCUUAAAUAAAUUUAAAAGACGAGAAGACCCUAUAGAGUUUAAUAAUUUUUUUUUAUUAAUUAAUUUAGAUUUAUUUAUUUUAUUUUAAAAAAAUUAUUUUAUUGGGGUAAUAGAAAGAUUUAAAUAAUUCUUUUUUAAAUAAAUCAUUAAUUUAUGAAAAUUUAUGAUCCAUUGAAUUUUGAUUAUAAGAUUAAAUUACCUUAGGGAUAACAGCGUAAUUUUUUUUAAGAGUUCAUAUCGAUAAAAAAGUUUGCGACCUCGAUGUUGGAUUAAAGAUUAAUUUAGGUGUAGAAGUUUAAAUUUUUGGUCUGUUCGACCAUUGAAUCUUUACAUGAUCUGAGUUCAAACCGGUGUAAGCCAGGUCGGUUUCUAUC